RNAcentral lists this long non-coding RNA (519 nucleotides) under Medicago truncatula (barrel medic). RNAcentral describes it as "lncRNA gene41112". The record is from RNAcentral. Lineage: Eukaryota; Viridiplantae; Streptophyta; Magnoliopsida; Fabales; Fabaceae.
UUAUUUAAUAAUAAUUUUACAUAUUCAUCUUUUAAUUUAGAGUGUCCGGGGUUCAAAUCCAGGACCUACAUAUAAUAUAUGUUAUCCUUACCAACUGAGUUAAGCUCAUGAGGAUUUACAUAUUCAUUUAUCUCAUAUAAUUUAUAGGUAUACAAUAACUUUUUUAUUUCCAUAUAUAUCUUGUAAAAGAAAACAAAGGAAGUCAUCGUUGCCUUAUACGUGCUUAUCUGUAGAGAAAAAUUGAAUUGUGCAAGAAAAUAUUAAGAGAGAAAAAUUAGUGUUAAAUAAUUAACACGUUAAAAUAAAAUGAUACAUUUAGAAGUAACAAAAUUAUUUUUCAACUUACCUAAGAAUUUCUUCUAUUUACACAAACACGUAGAAUGGAUGCAUUUCGCAAUUGUAAGUUUUUCACAAAAAUAAGAUGGACAAUCAGAGUCUUGACGACAUUCCUUCUUACGUAUGCCUCCCAUUACAACUAAAAGUAGUGAAAGAAAUAGGAUGGCAACAUAUACAAACUUG